This 253-nucleotide ribosomal RNA is filed under the name uncultured bacterium. RNAcentral describes it as "partial 16S ribosomal RNA". It matches the Rfam family "Bacterial small subunit ribosomal RNA", at positions 524 to 776 of the family's 1533-position model. The record is from RNAcentral.
UACGGAGGGUGCAAGCGUUAUCCGGAUUCACUGGGUUUAAAGGGUGCGUAGGUGGGCAGUUAAGUCAGUGGUGAAAUCUCCGGGCUUAACCCGGAAACUGCCAUUGAUACUAUCUGUCUUGAAUAUGGUGGAGGUAAGCGGAAUAUGUCAUGUAGCGGUGAAAUGCUUAGAUAUGACAUAGAACACCCAUUGCGAAGGCAGCUUACUACGCCUAUAUUGACGCUGAGGCACGAAAGCGUGGGGAGCGAACAGG